Molecule: long non-coding RNA, 1488 nt
Filed under: Callithrix jacchus (white-tufted-ear marmoset)
Lineage: Eukaryota; Metazoa; Chordata; Mammalia; Primates; Cebidae
Description: lncRNA (ENSCJAG00000086449.1)
Source: RNAcentral
AUGCCAUGCAUGAUUUUAGGUGGGGAAAAUGUCACUUAUUUUUCACUUUGUCACCCAGGCUGGAGUGCAGUGGCGCAAUCUUGGCUCACUGAAAUCUCUACCUCUUGGGUUCAACGUGAUUCUCCUGCCUCAGCCUCCCGAGUAGCUGUGGUUACAGGCGUGCACCACACCCAGCUAAUUUUUGUAUUUUUAGUAGAGAUAGGGUUUCACCAUGUUGGUCAGGCUGGUCUCAAACUAAAAGGGAUUUUUUUUCAAGUUUACCUCUUUUCUUGACCAAAUCAGGGUAUUCUUCCACAGAAUGAACUGGAGUAUUGGCACAUUAGGGUCUUUGAGAAAUUCAUGAAUUUCUCAGAAUUAAGUAAAGAAGGUUAACAUAAUUAAGUUAACCCCAAUUUAAGAGGGUUCAUUAGAAAAUUAUAAAUCCACAUUGUUUAAAUUUUUAUGAUUAAAUACAGCUACUUACAAUAAUAAAAUUCUGCACCAUGGUGAUACGUAUUAUAUAAAAAUGUAUAACUUAUCUAGUGGAUCACUCCAGAAAAGAUGACAAGAGGUGAAUUCAAGGCCCUCUUGACUCUCUUGUUGGUUUGGUCUCACAGGGUGCAAACAAGUCUUUACGAUGUUUGAUUAUUCUCCCUUGUCAUGAACAGAUCUUCCUCUAGGGCUGAGAUAGGGAUAGAUGCAGGGAAAAGGUCAUGGAGCAUUGAAAAUUACUGUAAAAAUAUGAGAUUUUUCAGGUUAAAUGAAUUUUAAAGUUAAUUUCUUAUCAUUUUAGACCUAAUUUCAGUAUAUAAAGUCAGGCGGCACGUAAGGACAUUUCACCAACACCAGGCCACAUACACAAUGGUGGUCCCAUAAGAUUAUAACACCAUGUUUUUACUGUAUUAAGGUCACUAAUGAAUAGUCGUAGUCAAUUCUCAGUCCUCAGACACAGCUUACUCUGCUACAAUUUGUUUUGUUUUUCUUGAAUUCCAGAGUAUUAAAGAAUAUUGGUUUUCCGCCUGUCUCAUUAACUACUCUUUUUUUUUUUCAGACAGGGUCUCACUGUCUUGCCCAGGCUGAAAUGCAAAGGUGUGAUGACAACUCACUGCACCCUUGAACUCUCAGGCUCACGCAACUCUCUCGGCCUCCCAGGUAGCUGAAACUACAAGUGCAUAUAUCACCAUCAGACGAAUUGUUUUCUAUUUUUUUGUAGAGAUAGGAUCUCACUGUGUUGCCUGGGCUCGUCUCAAACACCUGAGCUCAAGUGAUCUUCCUGCCUCAGUCUCCCAAAGUGCUGGGAUUACAGGCAUGAGACAUGAUGCCUGGCCACUGCCACUUUUUCAGACUCCUCCAUGACUAAUAAAGACCCCAAAUUUAAAAUACCCGGAAGUGAACUUCCUCCCCCAACCCCUCCCCCACCAAAACUUGCCUAGCCUGUGUUACUCCCUGUCUUGGUCAUUGUUGACUCUCCUACUUCUCCGAGACCAACAUACAAUCUGUUAAUUCCAU